CAUUAUAAGCACUCAAUAGGCUAACAAAUUAACUCCUUCUCAUCACGAAUUAAAAAGAGAAUAUGAUUAAAAUGUUCUCUUUUCUCAGCAGUAAAUUGUAUAAUUCUCCGGCGGAAACAAAACACAAAGCUCGAAACUUUACCAUUAUAUUGGUUUCCCUCCGUAGUCUACGGCAAAGGAGAAAAAAAGCAGGAGCAAUCCGACCAG
Arabidopsis thaliana (thale cress) is the source of this 207-nucleotide long non-coding RNA. RefSeq annotates it as other RNA. The transcript has a single exon. The record is from RefSeq. Lineage: Eukaryota; Viridiplantae; Streptophyta; Magnoliopsida; Brassicales; Brassicaceae.